CCUGAUCCAGCCAUCCCGCGUGUAUGAUGAAGGCCUUCGGAUUGUAAAGUACUUUUGGCAGAGAAGAAAAGGUAUCCUCUAAUACGAGGAUACUGCUGACGGUAUCUGCAGAAUAAGCACCGGCUAACUACGUGCCAGCAGCCGCGGUAAUACGUAGGGUGCAAGCGUUAAUCGGAAUUACUGGGCGUAAAGCGUGUGUAGGCGGUUCGGAAAGAAAGAUGUGAAAUCCCAGGGCUCAACCUGGGAACUGCAUUUUUAACUGCCGAGCUAGAGUAUGUCAGAGGGGGGUAGAAUUCCACGUGUAGCAGUGAAAUGCGUAGAUAUGUGGAGGAAUACCGAUGGCGAAGGCAGCCCCCUGGGAUAAUACUGACGCUCAGACACGAAAGCGUGGGGAGCAAACAGGAUUAGAUACCCUGGUAGUCCACGCCCUAAACGAUGUCAACUAGCUGUUGGGGCCGUUAGGCCUUAGUAGCGCAGCUAACGCGUGAAGUUGACCGCCUGGGGAGUACGGUCGCAAGAUUAAAACUCAAAGGAAUUGACGGGGACCCGCACAAGCGGUGGAUGAUGUGGAUUAAUUCGAUGCAACGCGAAAAACCUUACCUACCCUUGACAUGUCUGGAAAGCCGAAGAGAUUUGGCCGUGCUCGCAAGAGAACCGGAACACAGGUGCUGCAUGGCUGUCGUCA
Molecule: ribosomal RNA, 685 nt
Filed under: Alcaligenes sp.
Lineage: Bacteria; Pseudomonadati; Pseudomonadota; Betaproteobacteria; Burkholderiales; Alcaligenaceae
Description: bacterial SSU rRNA
Rfam family: Bacterial small subunit ribosomal RNA
Source: RNAcentral